GACGAACGCUGGCGGCGUGCCUAAUACAUGCAAGUCGAACGCAGUGGGGACGGGUGAGUAACACGUGGGUAACCUCCCAUCAGAGGGGAUAACACUUGGAAACAGGUGCUAAACCGAUACUGAUGGAUGGACCCGCGGUGCAUUAGCUAGUUGGGGAGGUAACGUCUCACCAAGGCCACGAUGCAUAGCCGAUCUGAGAGGGUGAUCGGCAAAACUGGGACUGAGCCACGGCCCAGACUCCUACGGGAGGCAGCAGUAGGGAAUCUUGGGCAAUGGACGAAAGUCUGACCGAGCCAGGCCGCGUGAGUGAAGAAGGUUUUCGGAUCGUAAAGGUCUGUUAGUAGAGAAGCGGUAUCUAACCAGAAAGCAACGGCUAACUCCGUGCCAGCAGCCGCGGUAAUUC
Molecule: ribosomal RNA, 403 nt
Filed under: uncultured bacterium
Lineage: Bacteria
Description: partial 16S ribosomal RNA
Rfam family: Bacterial small subunit ribosomal RNA
Source: RNAcentral